AUUGAACGCUGGCGGCAGGCCUAACACAUGCAAGUCGAGCGAGCGGCGGACGGGUGAGUAAUGUAUGGGGAUCUGCCUGAUGGAGGGGGAUAACUACUGGCAACGGUAGCUAAUACCGCAUACCAUCAGAUGUGCCAAGCUGGGAUUAGCUAGUAGGUGGGGUAAUGGCUCACCUAGGCGACGAUCCCUAGCUGGUCUGAGAGGAUGACCAGCCACACUGGAACUGAGACACGUUCCAGAAUCCUACGGGAGGCAGCAGUGGGGAAUAUUGCACAAUGGGCGCAAGCCUGACGCAGCCAUGCCGCGUGUAUGAAGAAGGCCUUCGGGUUGUAAAGUGCUUUCGGUAGCGAUGCGUUAACUACAGAAGAAGCACCGGCUAACUCAGUGCCAGCAGCCGCGGUAAUAC
This 406-nucleotide ribosomal RNA is filed under the name uncultured bacterium. Its description in RNAcentral is "partial 16S ribosomal RNA". It matches the Rfam family "Bacterial small subunit ribosomal RNA", at positions 30 to 526 of the family's 1533-position model. The record is from RNAcentral.